GAUGAAGAACGUAGCGAAAUGCGAUAAGUAAUGUGAAUUGCAGAAUUCAGUGAAUCAUCGAAUCUUUGAACGCACAUUGCGCCCCUUGGUAUUCCGAGGGGCAUGCCUGUUCGAGCGUCAUUAUAACCCUCAAGCUCAGCUUGGUGUUGGGGCCUGCUGCACUGUCAGCCCUUAAAAUCAGUGGCGGCGCCAUCUGGCUCUAAGCGUAGUAAUUCUUCUCGCUAUGGAGUCCUGGUGGAUGCUUGCCAUCAACCCCCAAUUUUUCUAUGGUUGACCUCGGAUCAGGUAGGGAUACCCGCUGAACUUAAGCAUAUCAAUAAGCGGAGGA
Molecule: unclassified non-coding RNA, 328 nt
Filed under: soil metagenome
Description: partial contains 5.8S ribosomal RNA, internal transcribed spacer 2, and large subunit ribosomal RNA
Rfam family: 5.8S ribosomal RNA (bases 1-120)
Source: RNAcentral